RNAcentral lists this ribosomal RNA (254 nucleotides) under uncultured bacterium. RNAcentral's name for it is "partial 16S ribosomal RNA". It matches the Rfam family "Bacterial small subunit ribosomal RNA", at positions 524 to 776 of the family's 1533-position model. The record is from RNAcentral.
UACGGGGGGAGCAAGCGUUGUUCGGAUUUACUGGGCGUAAAGGGCGCGUAGGCGGCCACCGCAAGUCGACUGUGAAAUCUCCGGGCUUAACCCGGAAAGGUCAGCCGAUACUGCGGGGCUAGAGUGCAGAAGGGGCAACUGGAAUUCUCGGUGUAGCGGUGAAAUGCGUAGAUAUCGAGAGGAACACCUGCGGCGAAGGCGGGUAGCUGGGCCGACACUGACGCUGAAGCGCGAAAGCCAGGGGAGCGAACGGG